Molecule: non-coding RNA, 97 nt
Organism: Rhodocollybia butyracea
Lineage: Eukaryota; Fungi; Basidiomycota; Agaricomycetes; Agaricales; Omphalotaceae
Source: the annotation of a GenBank genome assembly
GGUUCGAUGGUGUAGGGGUUAUCACACUUGUCUUACAUGCGCAGAAAUAUCGAUGUUUCACAAGAGGUCCCCGGCUCGAAACCGCCAGGUCGAACCA